GGUGUAGGCGGAUUAUUAAGUCAGAAGUGAAAGCCCUGGGCUCAACCCAGGAAGUGCUUUUGAUACUGAUGAUCUUGAGUGUGGGAGAGGAUAGUAGAAUUCCUGGUGUAGUGGUGAAAUACGUAGAUAUCAGGAGGAACACCGGUGGGGAAGCCGGCUGUCUGGCCCAACACUGACGCUCAGACCCGAAAGCGUGGGUAGCAAACA
This 207-nucleotide ribosomal RNA is filed under the name uncultured bacterium. RNAcentral describes it as "partial 16S ribosomal RNA". It matches the Rfam family "Bacterial small subunit ribosomal RNA", at positions 568 to 774 of the family's 1533-position model. The record is from RNAcentral.